UUUACAGACAGUAUGAUGCGUUUGUAAAUCGGGAGCAUUUGUCAAGAUCUCAAAGAUCAAUAUGUGAGGGGGGGGGAAAUAAAAAAGGUGAAGAGGAAGGUACGGCUUUGGAAGUAAAGUAAAAGCAUUUAUUUCUACACAAAAUGUGGGAGGACAUAAAAAGCCCCAAGGGUUCUUAGUUUUCGUCCCUCCGCCCAAUUUCAUACCCUCCAACCUAUUACCCCCAGUUACUUUCCCUAAUGCCCCGGGGAGUCUGUUAAAAACCAAAGUCUGCGGCAGGCUUUCCUCGCAAGCAGGACUUCGGUUUCACUAUUUCCGUAUUUAUAUAUUUUGCAUUAAACUCUAGCUAGACAACUAUGAGAAAACAACACGAAACGUGUCAAUAUUAAGUAAUGUUGUAGUUUGUCAAGUGAGUGUAUCUUUUCGAAAAGAUAAAACCACUGCUUUGGGCUCACAACCACAAUUUUAACAGAAAUGGGCAAGAGGAAUGCUGCAAACAGAAACGUGCACGCUCAAGAGAUUACCAUUUAAUUGGGGGCAUGACUCAUCAAAAAUUGCAAUAAUGUGGAUCUCUUAAAUUUCUUAAUUCGUAAUAUAUUAGCUUUAAAGAAAAGAGAACACUAGGGUACCAUCCCUCAUAAUCUGUGAUGUGUGCAGUCUCUGUAUUUUAAUUGUGCAACUCAAGCAGCCAAAAUGAGUCAUUUCAUUAACUGAAACCAUCAGCAGUCUGCUGCCAGUACUUCUACAGAUCUUAGCAAAUGUGUUUCUUCUCUAUUUAUUGACUUGCAAAGAAGAAACUGAAUUUCCCUGUCUUUUUAAAGCUACCCAGAAAGUGGAUAAACUCUUCAAAGAACCAAAUCAAAUUGAUUUCCUCUUUAAUGCAAAUAUAUUCAAAGGAAAGCAAUUUCAAAUAUAUUCAAAGAACACAUUAUCUGAAUAAUAGCAUCAAACACAACCUUAUUAAAAUUUUGUUAAAUGUUAGUAGCAUAACACUUUUGUUUGUGAUUCAGUAGGAAAAUGCAAUCUGAUAAUGGCACUGGAACUGCAAUACUAAAUGCAAAAUCAUAUUCCAUGAACUAAUGCAAGUAUGCUAGAAUCUGGUAUGCAAAGAGUAAUAACUUACUGCUCCACACGAGAUCCAACUACAUCCUCAGGCAUCAAUCUUAAUGACAGAGGCCUACUAUGAACAACAAAUAUAUUAUCAAGGCAUUCAUUUUUUUUUUUUUUUUUUUUUUUUAAAAUGAGAAAAUUCAUCUGGUUCAGUUUCCGUGCAAAUUAAAAUUUGGACUUAGGUUCAUAAAAGCUUCCUGCCAUCUAGAAUUUUGAAAAAAUUGAGUCAAAAAAGUACAGUGGCCAAGAUAUAAGGGGGAAGUGGAAAAUUAGAUAAAAGCUACUGUCCACAGUUGGGCUGGUUUUUCAGUGCUGCUUCUUGCUAAGGUAUUCAUUCUCUUACAUUACCAAGCAGCAGCCAGUCAGGCCCUGUGACUGUGAAAAUCAGCAGUGUCCUUCAGCAGCACUCCUACCUAGAUAGCAGACUGUCAUUACUCCAAAUAGUGGAGAAGGGAUGUGAGUUUUUAAAGUCUCAAAACGCCUCUCUACGCUCUGUCCAGAGAGGUGAGAAAAUGCAGCCAUAAAAUAACAUUAGAAUGAAGUUUAGGCACUGCAUGGGGAAGUCAUCCAGACGGACAUUCCACCCUGGAUUGAUACUGGAAGCCAUGGAUGUUUGGGGAGAAACUGUGGUGAUGGCAAUACUAACAUUCUUACCAAUAAACAGGACUGACAACAGCCAAUGAUUCUAUAGUAGUUCCUGCUCCCUCUCCGUAUCUGCAGUUUCACUUUCUACGGUUUCAGUUACCCACAGUCAACCACACUCCAAAAAGAUUAAGACAUUUUUGGAGACAAACCACAAUAUAACUUAUACCAUAUUGUUAUAACUGCUGUACUUUACUGUUAGUGUCAACUGAAGGAUGCUGAGGUUCGUAAAGUUGGAGAGAAGAGCUUUAAUUCUCAUAAAGGGUUGCAGUCUGCAGGGCUGCCACUCCAGCAGGCUAGGAAGCACAACCUCAGGCCAGAAGCCAGAAACAGACACUUCAAGGGAGGGGAAAAAGCAGCAGGAGUCUAUGCAGAGUGGGGUGGCCAAAUAUACAGAUUUAAUAAGCUGUAGGAGGAGUCAUGAAUAUUUAUGCAAAGAGAAAGGUGCACAUGCGCAAUUGCACUUCAUGCCUCUCCAUGGGACCCAUGUUCCAAAAUUGGCAGUGUUCGCAUGAUCCAGGGUAGGAGUUUUCGGCCCUGUGACAUAAAAAGGUGACGCAGGGGACAUGAAAACCCUGACCGCACAUCUUCCAUAGACUGGCCACAACUACUCCAUGGUCGGUGGUCUUUUAUCAAGAAGAAUGACCCAUCAGUUGUGCCAAAACUGCAAAAGGAGGGGCAGCAUCAGGUCGUGAUACCAGAGAUGGAAUCUCAUUCUGUCUCCCAGGCUGGAGUGCAGUGUCACCACCUUGGCUCACUACAACCUCUGCCUCCAGAGUUCAAGCAAUCCUCCCACCUCAGUCUCCCAAGUAGCUAGGAUUACAGCUCUUCAGCUUCUGGACUCUUGGACUUCUAUCAGUGGUUUGCCAGGGUCAAGGGCCUUCAGCCACAGACGGAAGGCUGCACUGUUGGCUUCCUGACUUUUGAGGUUUGGGGACUCAGACUGGCUUCCUAGCUCCUCAGCUUGCAGAUGGCCUACUGUCGGGCUUCACCUUGUGAUCAUAUUCUCCUCUUCGUUCAUGGUAUUUCUUCUGAACCAGAAAAAGGCUUUAAUUUUCUGACAGCAACACAGUGCUAAAAGCAGGUGAGGACUUUUUAGGAAGAAAGGCAAUGAUCAAAGCAUGCAGCCAUCACAUACGAGCCAUUCUCUAUCUUUUCCAGUGGAAGACAGUGGGCCAAUGUGAGCAAAAGAGUCGGAGGGCAGAUACUGUGCUGGUGGGUUGACAGCAGGAAAAGCAAUCCAGACAUCUUAAUGGUUGCAGUAAAGUUCCUUGUGUCUGCAUAUUUACAAGUUAUAUAUAUUCAUUCACAGCAAAGAUCCCUCCUUCUUAGAGCACAUGGUAGACUACCUCAUAACACUUUGUCCCUCAUAAAUGAAAUUCUGAUGAAACAGCAUCAGAGAUUUCCUUGGCUGGUGGAAGCGGGUGGAGAGGUGGGCCUUGAUAAGAUGGUGCUUACCAAGCAUUGCAGCCAUUUGGCCCAGAAGCCUGGUGUUAGACUCUUUUCUAGACUCACAUCUUUCAGUUUUCCAGGGCCCCUAUGGAAAUCAUUAAGGCCUGUUAAGUUAUAAAAUUACAAACAUCCAAGGUCUUCAUAGUGGUAACUGAGAUUCUCUUUGUUUGCUUGGUUUCUUACCCCUGUGUUCUGUAUCCUUUCCCUUUAGGAAGAGCCUAUUCCCAUUUUUAAGAGACUUUGGUAUAAGGCUCUGCCUUCCUUUCCUGAGUGCCCAAGAUUCAGGCCAGACACAGUGACUGGUUCAGAAGUUCAGUCAGCAUCCUUUCAGGACAUUCAGACAGAUUCUCACUCCCCUGAGCUAACAAGCCGAGGGGUGAUGGAAACCUAGCCACGCAUGCCCUUGCUUCAGAAAAAACCGCCUCAGGGUGAAGCCAACUCAAAAAAGAUCUAAGAGAUGGGAAACAGUCUUAAUGUUGCCAUCUGAAUCCAUGGAUGCUGAAUUCAGGAUCAGAAUCCUGGAGAUCAUGAAUUCCUAGAGCAUCUCCUUUGGCCUAAUCUGCUUUCAGUUGGUUCCUUCACUUGAAGGUGAACAAGGUCUGGCUAAAUCAGUAGCUAAACCUAUUAUUCGGGGGAAAAGGUAGUUAAGAAAUGAGACUUUGUUUAAAGCCAUGGAGCCAGGGGAGAUUACUAUUACCAAUGAGGAGUCUUGAAUGUCACGAGAGGUGAAGCAAAGACCCUGUGCCAUCUUUGUUGUUUCUUCCCGGUGUUCUGUUGCUGGGCAAUGUGCUCAUUUCAGUUGGUGGCAACAAGGGUAAGGGAGAGACAAGUUAUGAAGAACUGUCCUUGUCCAAAUGGAAAGUACAUAGAGGCUGGGCGCAGUUGCUCACGCCUAUAACCUCAGCACUUUGGGAGACUGAGGCGGUGGAUCACUUGAGGUCAGAAGUUCCAGACCAGCCUGGCCAACAUCGCAAAACCGCAGCUCUACUAAAAAUACAAAACUUAGCCGGCCUGGUGGUUGUUGCCUGUAAUCCCAGCUACUUGGGAGACUGAGGCAGGAAUCGCUUGAACCUGGGAGGCAGAGGUUGCAGUGAGCCAAGAUCAUGCCACUACACUCCAGUCCAGGCUGGGCAACAAAGCGAGACUCCAUUUUAAAAAAAAAAAGUAAAAAUGAGUUAAUCUGGUGAUUUACCUUUGCAGAAAGGAGUUUUAUACAACUUGGAAUAUAUAUAUGUAUUUUGAGAUGGAGUCUCAUUCUGUCACCAGGCUGGAGUGCAGUGGCGCGAUCUCGGCUCACUGCAACCUCCGCCUCCCGGGUUCAAGUGAUUCUCCUGCUUAGGCCUCCCUAAUAGCUGGGACUACAGGCAUGCACCACCACACGCAGCUAAUUUUUGUAUUCUUAGUAGAGAUGAGGUUUCACCAUUUUGGCCACAGGAAUAUAAUUUAAAGUAGCGGUACUAUGGACCAGUUUCAUGAAAGGCAAUUUUUCCAAAGGAGCUGUGGGGUCGGGAAGACGGUUUCAGGAUCCCCACCUGCGCAGUUCAGAGUAGGGCUCACAUCUCUAUGAGAAUCUAACGCUGCCGCUUAUCUGACAGGAGGUGGAGCUCAGGUGGUGAUGCUCACUCCUCCGCCACUCACCUCCUGUGCUGUGACCAGGUUCCUAACAGUCCACAGACUGGAACUGGUCCACAGCCUGGGGUUUCGGAACCCCUGCCUCAAAACAGAUGCUACUCUAAAGUAGCUGUCUUCUUCAUAUUUAACUCAAAGCAUUUCCCCACCUGCUAUCCCAAGCAAGAUGACAGACAACAGAAACCUCAUUCUUGUAGGCUACACUUUAGCCUAAAGUAGAGAGAUACGCGCAGGACAGAGGUAUGUCCACAAGGAGAGCUGACAAAGCUAAUACCCAGAAAGGGACGAGGCAGAUAGGCUAUGAGAAAACUGAACAUGUCAAAAUGGAAAAAAAUAACAGUAGAGAAAAAAAUAAAAAUAUUCAAGGCAGACAAGAAAGACCCUAUAUAUAAUCAUAACUGGCGGUCUUGAGGGAGCUAACCACCGCUGAGAGAGGAACGGGUGACUGCAGGAAUGCUGGGGACACGGGUUUACACGGGUUUACACAGGCCCUGCCUCUCUGGUCCCACCCCCACCCCACCGCAGCUCCCUCCCUUGGACUAAUAACCAGAGCAAGCAUACUUUCAGGGCUGGAGGGGAAUCAGAGGCCAUGGGUUCGCCAAGAUCUGCAGGAGAGAGCGCCAGUACAGGGUUCCUCCCUCUCUGAGAUGCAAGUGAGAGCUUAGCAACUUCAUAUGGAGAAGAGGGCUUGCCCCUUCCUCAGGCCUGGGAAAAGCAAGGACUGUGUGGUACUUGUGGGGUCUGUGGGCAGAAGCCUGUGUCUCCCCUUUGAGAAGGUCCACAGCUGUCCCCUUUCUGAGAAUAGUCCUGUCCCAGGCUGCUGUUCUUCAGGGGAGCCUCACAGGCAGCACAAGUGGUGCCAGGCCUCGAGGUUGGGAGAGCCAGCCGUUUGCCUCCCAUGAGGCCUGGGCUCCGAGAGGCCCUUCAUAGCACUUCAACAGGCACGUAGACAGUGUGCCCUCUGACGCACCGUGGCCAUAAAAGCAAAACCUGCUGGGCCUCUUGCUUCCUGCCAGCCUCAUACUUUUCCAGUGACUCCCAACAACGUGACCCACAUACCCUAUUCCGGUUAUCCCACUGGGUAUCUUUGGCCUCUUUUCUGCAAAUCGGUUGACCGCAGAUGUAUGAGUUCAUUUCUGGAGCCUCAGUUCUGAUCCACUGCUCUAUGUGUGCACUGGUGUCCCGGGGCUGCCAUGGCAGAAGGCCACAGACUGGGCGGCUUCAACAGCAAAGCGAUUCCUCACAGUUCUGGAGGCUCCAAGUCCAAGAGAUCAAGGAGUCGGCAUGUUGCUUCCUGCUGAGGCUUCUCUCCAUGGCCUGCAGAUGACCACGUCCCCACGGUGUUCUCAGCGGGCCCUUCUCUGGGCACAGACAUCCGUCGUACCUCUUCCUCAUUUUACUUGCUGUAAGGACACCAGUCCUAUUGGAUCAGGGCCCCACUAUAAAGGCCUCAUUUUAACUUUUAAAGAACUUGUUUUCACACACAGUUGAUGAGUCUGAGGUUGAGUCUUUUGAAUUCCGGGGAGACACUGCAGCCCAUCACAACAUAGCUCUAUGUGAGCCACUGCUACACUGCAGCGUUCGUUUUGAAAUGAGAACGUGUAAGUCCUCCAGUUUUCUUAUUUUUCAGGAUUACUGUGGCUAUUCUGGGUCCCUUCUGUCUCCCUAUGACUUCUAGAAUCGCCUUGUCAAUUCCUGUUAAAAAUUCAGUUGAGAUUUUCAUAGGGCUUGUUUGGAGUCUUUAGAUCAAUUUGGGUAGCACUGACAUCUUAAAAUUACAUCUACUGAUCCACGUACGUGGGUUGUUAAUGUGGACAAGUAAAUUUAUUACUCCUCGAAAAAAUGAUUUUCACAAACUUUGUAUCAAGAUGAGAACUGAUGUAGUAUCUUUCUACCUGAAGGGAGCAAGAAAGUCAGGUGGUAUGUCCUUUGUACAUGGGCAACCAAUUUCUCACCUAGACUUUCUUUUGCUCACCUGGACCAAAGAAAAGAAAGGUAUUGAAGAAAUGUGAAAAUUGCUUUCCUUAGUAUGUAAAGCUGUUAAAUGAGUAAAGGCUGUGCUCCCCUAGAAUUCUCACAUUUCCAUUUGUAUGUAUCUGCAUUUCCCAGUAACCCACUAAGUUAUGUAUGCACGUGAUCCUGAAGCACCAUGAUUAGAUACAAAGGUCUCCAUCUACCACGUUCCCUUCUGUCAGAUCAUUAAAAGACCUCUCCCUACUCCAGUUCUCUGAAAACGUGUAAAUCAUGCUCAGCACAGUGCAAACUCCACUAGGAGAGGCUGAGCAACUCAUUUACUACACAGUCCCUGGCCCUGAGAGGGAGCCCCAGAAAUCCCAUGUUAAAGGAAACUUCCGUUUUCUCCCCAGCUGCUUUCCUUGAGUCUGCAUGACGCGCCUUGACGGCUAUGUGGAGCUGUCAAAAGCCUUGAACAGGGAAAAUAUCGAAGAAUGGCAUUCCAGGAAAUAAGCUUAAUCUCAGUUGGACAGAAGGAGGUACAAAGAAGGCUUGGGGAAGGAAGAGGCAGGAUAUGGGGAAGACAGAAUGGAUUCUGUAACAUCAGGAAAAAAUAGGAACCUUAUAAAUACCAAGAUGUUACCUGGCAGACACAUGUCAGCACCUGGGUUAUGAAAGACAGACCAGGCCGGGCACAGUGGCUCACACCUGUAAUCCCAGCACUUUGGGAGGCCGAGAUGGGGAGAUCACAAGGUCAGGAUAUUGACACCACCCUGACCAACAAUGGUGAAACCCCAUCUCUACUAAAAAUACACAGAUUAGCUGGGCGUGGUAGUGCGCGCCUGUAGUCCCAGCUACUCAGGAGGCUGAGGCAAGAGAAUCACUCAAAUCCAGGAGGCAGAGGCUGCAGUGAGCCAAGAUCACACCAUGCACUCCAGCCUGAUACAAUGAGGCUCUGGGCUGGGGGACGGGGGGGGCGGGGGACGGGGGGAGAAAGACCAGCUAACUAACGCCCACCCACAGAGGUGAGAGUCACAUUCUUUGAAAAGGAAGAGAGCAGAGAGGGAACCUGCUGCCUGGUGAGAUCUCAGCUGGCCUGGUUGCAGCUUUGCUUCCAGAAGCCAGGGAACCACCAUGGGAAGGGCAAUAAAGCAUGAAAGGGAGAGGAGCUUGGUUUUCUGAUGGUCUGCUGCUCCAGAAGUUGGCAACACCAUCCCUUCCUCUGCCGGGAUAAACUAGGGCAUCCUUUUUGAGAUGCAGUACUUUUUUUUUUUUAAAGACUUUAUUAAUCCCACAUGUUUGAGAAGUGGCUGGGAAAGCAAACAUUAACUAAUUACGUGCUUCCUAGGAUUCAACCAGUCAUUAAAAACAUAUCCGUGAAAUUUUCUUGAGCUGUUCAAUUGUUUAUCAUUAUCCAAGUGGUUCUACUCAUGCAUUUCUUUUCCUUUCACAUUUACCUCUAAGCAAAUUGCCUAAUUCAGCAUGGUUAUUCUUCUGGAAAUUUAAAAGCUGUGUAUUGGGAAAUUUCACACAGUAACGUCAAUACGCUGUUAUGCUUAAUCCUUAGUGCCUAGGUAUGAUUAUUAGAUGUACUUUAUAGAAAUUCUGCUGAACUCAUUGUAAUUUAUUAUCCAUUCACAGUUUUACUUGCGUAGUCUUACUCAAGGGUAUUUUCUAAAUGUAUAAAUAAAUGAUGCAGCCUAUUAGAAUGGAGGUUAAAUAGUAAGUGACUGGCUUAAGAGUGGACAUGUGACCCAGCUCUGGUCAGUGAGUUGCAAGGGGUAUUUUUGGGGGCAUCUAAAAAAUGUUUACUUGCCCUUAAAAAGAAGUUUAUAGGAAAAAAAGCAGGAAAACUUUCCAGUUCUAUCGAACCCCAUACCGGGGAUCUGCACGGACCGCCUCAAGCAGUGGCAACAGUCUCAUGACUGAGUAGAGCUAAGCCACCGCAUCAACACAUUGAAACCGGCAGAGGGGAAAGGGGGAAAGAUUCUGCGUCCCUGACUUUGCUAGGCUACUGAACCAGCUAACCCUGCGGCAGCCCCCCUCUGGACUUGCCAUUUGAUGUAAUAACGUCCUUCAUUGUUUAAGCUUGUGUGAACUGAUUUUAUAUCACUUGCAGCCAAAAGCCACUCCAAAGCUUCCCAGCUGACAUGUGUAGACUAGGAAGUCCCAACAAGAGGAACAGACUUUACCUAGUGAGGCCAUGCCAACCCACUGCACCUGUCUCUGAGAUCUACAGACAUCUGAAUGUGAGCUUGAAAUGCUGCUCAAGUUUGGGUAGACUACAGCUCAAGAAUGGGAGACGACAGGUUGGUAAUCUUCCUAUCUCUCUAGGGCAAAGAGAUAGUGAGAUGUUACCUGGGACCUGAGAAAGGGGGAAGGUCUAUGGUUUGCCCAGAUAGCUAAAGUCUGUAGGUUAGAAAGACAGGAUUUGUUUGGAAGUUAUGAAGAUGUAUCCUGAUAUGUCAUGGACAUCAUGUGAUACGGUUUGGCUGUGUCCCCACCCAAAUCUCAUCUUGACUUGUAGCUCCCAUAAUUCCCAUGUAUUGUGGGAGGGACCCCAUGGGAGAUAAGUGAAUCAUACGGAAGGCUUCCCGCAUACUGUUCUCAUACUAGUGAAUAAGUCUCAGGAGAGCUGAUGAUUUCAUAAGGGAAACCGCUUUCACUUGGUUCUCAUUCUCUCUUGUCUGCUGCCAUGUAAGACAUGCCUUUUGCCUUCUGCCAUGAUUGUGGGGCCUCCCCAGCCACAUGAAACUGAGUCCAUUAAACCUCUUUUUCUUUAUAAAUCACCCAGUCUCAGGUAUGUCUUUAUCAGCAGCACAAAAUCGGACUAAUACCUCAUCCUAACUUGAAUGAUGCCUGUCCUCAGCCAGUGGUCCACUGAGAGUAUCCAUCAAGGAGUUUUCUCCCACUGCACACUGGACCUCAGCCGUUAUCACAAGCUCCCCACCACUCUUCACAUUGUUCCUUGUUUCCAGCAAGUUACCUCUUCUCCACACAUCUCAUGACUUCAGUAUUUUAGAUGCCUGUCACAUUGCCUGUCGCUGAUCCUUGACUCUUGAGACCACACUGCGUGUGACGAUCUUGGUCCUGUUUGCUUGAAGACAGGAAGUUAUAACCCAAGCCUCUAGAGGACUUCAGGCGUACCCGUCUGUUCUUGCUGCCUGGACUCCUGCAGCACACCCAAAUCUGCCCUCUAACCGCUUCUUGGCUACAAAUGGUCUCAAUAUGGUGAUGGCCAGGGGACAGAUGAGCUUUGAAAGCCUCAGACCAACCAGCCAGAUGUUCUCUUGCCUCCAGUGGUCACUGUUGAUGCCUGGUAUCAGGGUGUGUCCAGAGGUUGACACACUGUUGGUCCCCGUGGCCUAUGACAGAGGCCCGUACUCAGCACAGGGAGUACAGACCAAAGACCAGAGUCCAGCAAGAAUCUAUGGACCAAAGGUUAGGCAGUCUGGAGACGGGUAUCUCUGGCAGACCCCACAGUGAGGAGCAGCUAUCCCAGGCCAGAGUAGGGUCCACUGGCUGAUCUGGGGGCUCUGGAGCAGAUCAGAGGGAGCAUGUCUUGUCCACUUGAAAGGGAAGUUGCAAGGUGGUACUGAGGAUAAUUCGGCUCCACUUGACUCUCAGAAGAUUAUCCCCACCCUCACCAUGAGGAGAAGAGACAUUGCAGUAUGCCAGUGCAACCGUGGACAGAAAACAAUCCCACCCUAUCUGCCUCUAUCUCGCCCUUUUUUUUUUUGAGACAGAGUCUUGCUCUGUCAUCCAGGCUAGAGUAGAAUGGUGUAAGCAUAGCUCCCUAUAACCUCAAGCUUCUGGGCUCAAGCGCUUCUCCUGCCUCAGCCUCUCCAGUAGCUGGGAUUACAGGCACGAGCCAUCAUGCCUUGCCCCAUCUCUAUCAAUCCACCACGGCCUGGUGUGGGUGGGGGCAGAGAGGGUUAUCAUAGCCUGCUAUCAUAGCCCGCAGCUGGGCCCAAACCAGCACCGGGGAAACUCUGCACCCGCCACAAUGAUGCAGCACAGCAAACUCAUGUGCCACCUAAGAGGGACAGUGGUUUGAAGGAAGGAGACAGCCAAAUUCUCGAACAGAUGGCUACUAUGGAGCAGAACUAAUGAUAGAAGUUGAAAUAGACUAUAUAAUACAAAUAAUGAGAACACAUGAGGAGAUAUUAGUAGAGCACAGAAAAACGCUGCCUGAACAGAAAAAUGCUUGAUUUUUUUGUUUUGUUGUUCCCAGAUCCUAAGAGAAACUCCAAAUGCUUGACUUUUUCAUUUACAAAUUUAGUAGAGGUACUGUAUAAGAGAACAGCCCCACUGAAACCCAAGUUACUAUGUUAGGAAGAUGAAAUGAAAGGUGUAUCUCACAACACAGAUAAAACGUUAAUGAACCAAGAAUCACGAGUUCAUCAGGAAGACAUGGAGGGUGGAUGCAGGAGGCGGCAUCCUAGAUAAAUAAUAGGAGUUGGGGGAGAAAACGAAAGUAUGACAGAGAAUAAACAAAGAAAUGCCAAAGAAACAAAACCAACCAAGUCUUAAGAUUGAAAGCGUUCUGAAAACGCUGCAUUCAGACACAUCCUCGCAAAGUUUCUGAAUUUCCAGAAUAGAGAGAAAAAUCAUAAAACCUUCCAGACAGGAAGAACAAGUUGCUUUUAGAAAUAACCAGUCUAGGGGUCAGGGAUGAUGGCUCACGCCUGUAAUCUCAGCACCGGGAGGCUGAGGCGGGCAGAUCACUUGAGGUCAGGAGUUCGAGACCAGCCUGGCCAAUAUGGUGAAACCCCAUCUCUACUAAAAAUACAAAAAUUAGCUGGGUGUGGUGGUGCGUGCCUAUAAUCCAAGCUACUCAGAAGGCUGAGGCAGGAGAAUUGCUUGCACCCAGGAGGCAGAGAUUGCAAUGAGUCGAGAUUUUGCCAUUGCACUCCAGCCUAGGUGACAGAGAAAGACUGUCUCAAAAGAAGGAAGGAAGGAAAGG
Molecule: non-coding RNA, 11752 nt
Organism: Callithrix jacchus (white-tufted-ear marmoset)
Lineage: Eukaryota; Metazoa; Chordata; Mammalia; Primates; Cebidae
Source: RefSeq, a predicted model, not a curated record